AUGAUAUAGCCCAGUGGUUAGGGUGUAGGGUUGCAAUGCAGAUGACCAGGGUUUAAGUCCCUGGUCUGUCAUG
This is a non-coding RNA of Gymnothorax javanicus (giant moray), 73 nucleotides long. Lineage: Eukaryota; Metazoa; Chordata; Actinopteri; Anguilliformes; Muraenidae. The record is from the annotation of a GenBank genome assembly.